CACUAGGUAGCUAACUUGGUCCAAAGCGUUAGCCUUUUAAGCUAAAGACUGGUGAUUACCACCCACCCCUAGUGA
RNAcentral lists this transfer RNA (75 nucleotides) under Cynoglossus joyneri (red tonguesole). RNAcentral describes it as "tRNA-Lys". It matches the Rfam family "tRNA". Rfam says of the family: Transfer RNA (tRNA) molecules are approximately 80 nucleotides in length. Their secondary structure includes four short double-helical elements and three loops (D, anti-codon, and T loops). Lineage: Eukaryota; Metazoa; Chordata; Actinopteri; Pleuronectiformes; Cynoglossidae. The record is from RNAcentral.